Sphaeramia orbicularis (orbiculate cardinalfish) is the source of this 230-nucleotide long non-coding RNA. RefSeq lists it as uncharacterized. The transcript has 2 exons. NCBI's taxonomy places the organism in Eukaryota, Metazoa, Chordata, Actinopteri, Kurtiformes, Apogonidae. The record is from RefSeq and is a predicted model, not a curated record.
AUUUCCUGCCUCGGUGGAUGAAGUCCUGGAAAAGCAGAACCAUCAUACAGACCUUCUGGAGCUGCUGGGGGACAUAUUUGAUCAUUUUGACUGAACAGCGUUUUAGAGGUUUGGAUGGCAGCUGGCCUUUGACCCAAGUUAUGUUAUUUGUUGCCCCUGGGGGUAAGAAAUAACAUUUCUUGGGUCUGGAAGUGGGGGUGCAGCAGCAUUUUUUUUUAACCUUGUUUUUU